This 871-nucleotide small RNA is filed under the name Arabidopsis thaliana (thale cress). Its description in RNAcentral is "ATSL164880". Lineage: Eukaryota; Viridiplantae; Streptophyta; Magnoliopsida; Brassicales; Brassicaceae. The record is from RNAcentral.
AUACUAAGAAUAAUUACUUAUUAUAUAAGUAAAUGAUUAGAUAAUUAAAAAUUAUAUUUAAAUUAAACGAUACAAAAAAUUUGAAAAUACCGCAGCGUAGCGCGGGUGAUUACCUAGUGGUGAUAAAAGGAUGUGUAAAACAUGCAAAUUAUAGACAUAUCAACUCCCCCAAACUUAGUCUUUGCUUGCCCUCAAGCAAACAAGUAGACAUAAGCUGAAGGAGAGGUUUGAAGGUGGGGAUUCAGAACCAAAGCAUCAGAUAAAUCAGAUAGAAUCAAUGUUCAAGUUGGCAGUUCUAGGAUGCGAUAUUAUCGAACUCUACUCAAAAACGUUAGCCAUGCCUUAUUAUAGUUCAAUCCCACUCUUAUACUCGACCUACACAUGCUUUCAAAUCUACCAAUCCCUUUAACAUUCAUUAGUUUAGGAACGUGAAUCAAGCUAUGCAUCAUCAAUGAACUCAUUUGGCUAAGAUGAAGGUCAGGAGACAAAGAUGGUCCCUUUCUGGUGGUUCAAGUUUAGUAACAGGGGACUCUCAAAAGAAAUGGACUGAGCUUUAGGAGAAUGCUAAAGGUAAGAGCCAACCUAUGCAUACAAGAAUAGUAUCCCAUCUACCCAAAAACAUAGACACUGUAUACACCAGCAGAUGGUACUACCAUCAAGCCCAGAAUAUGAUCCUAGUUCUACCCUUUGCACUCAAGGCAUUUUUUUUUUUCUCAUUCUUAUCUUGGAUCAAACCACUCUUUCUUUUCUUUGACUCUUAUUCUAAGGAGAAGUUUCUUUUACUUUGAUGGAUCUAGUGGACUUUGGUUUUCGUUGACAACUAUGGCUUUUGUUAUCUUCUUGUGAUCAAGACUUUUCUAGACUUUCCUAU